CGGGUGACGGAGAAUUGGGGUUCGAUUCCGGAGAGGGAGCCUGAGAAACGGCUACCACAUCCAAGGAAGGCAGCAGGCGCGCAAAUUACCCAAUCCCGACUCGGGGAGGUAGUGACAAUAAAUAACAAUGCCGGGCUAUCUUUAGUCUGGCAAUUGGAAUGAGAACAAUGUAAACACCUUAACGAGGAACAAUUGGAGGGCAAGUCUGGUGCCAGCAGCCGCGGUAAUUCCAGCUCCAAUAGCGUAUAUUAAAGUUGUUGCAGUUAAAAAGCUCGUAGUUGGAUUUCGGGGCAGGAGGUCCGGUCCGCCGAAAGGUAGGUACUGGACGCCAGCCCUUUUUCUCGAAGGCCCCAUCUGCUCUUCACUGAGUGGUAGGGGAGUUCGGGACGUUUACUUUGAAAAAAUUAGAGUGUUCAAGGCAGGCCGUCGCUUGAAUACGUUAGCAUGGAAUAAUGGAAUAGGACUUCGGUUCUAUUUCGUUGGUUUCUGGGACCGAAGUAAUGAUUAAGAGGGACAGUUGGGGGCAUUCGUAUUCAAUUGUCAGAGGUGAAAUUCUCGGAUUUAUGGAAGACGAACAACUGCGAAAGCAUUUGCCAAGGAUGUUUUCAUUAAUCAAGAACGAAAGUUGGGG
RNAcentral lists this ribosomal RNA (631 nucleotides) under Swartschewskia papyracea. Its description in RNAcentral is "SSU rRNA". It matches the Rfam family "Eukaryotic small subunit ribosomal RNA", at positions 356 to 995 of the family's 1831-position model. The record is from RNAcentral. Lineage: Eukaryota; Metazoa; Porifera; Demospongiae; Spongillida; Lubomirskiidae.